Molecule: ribosomal RNA, 253 nt
Filed under: uncultured bacterium
Lineage: Bacteria
Description: partial 16S ribosomal RNA
Rfam family: Bacterial small subunit ribosomal RNA
Source: RNAcentral
UACGUAGGGCGCAAGCGUUGUCCGGAAUUAUUGGGCGUAAAGGGCUCGUAGGUGGCCAACUAAGUCAGACGUGAAAUCCCUCGGCUUAACCGGGGAACUGCGUCUGAUACUGGAUGGCUUGAGUUUGGGAGAGGGACGCGGAAUUCCAGGUGUAGCGGUGAAAUGCGUAGAUAUCUGGAGGAACACCGGUGGCGAAGGCGGCGUCCUGGACCAACACUGACACUGAUGAGCGAAAGCCAGGGGAGCAAACGGG